Molecule: ribosomal RNA, 497 nt
Filed under: uncultured bacterium
Lineage: Bacteria
Description: partial 16S ribosomal RNA
Rfam family: Bacterial small subunit ribosomal RNA
Source: RNAcentral
GAUGAACGCUGGCGGCGUGCCUAAUACAUGCAAGUCGAGCGAACAGAUAAGGAGCUUGCGCCUUUGACGGUAGCGGCGGACGGGUGAGUAACACGUGGAUAACCUACCUAUAAGACUGGGAUAACUUCGUGAAACCGGAGCUAAUACCGGAUAACAUAUUGAACCGCAUGGUUCAAUAGUGAAAGGCGGCUUUGCUGUCACUUAUAGAUGGAUCCGCGCCGUAUUAGCUAGUUGGUAAGGUAACGGCUUACCAAGGCAACGAUACGUAGCCGACCUGAGAGGGUGAUCGGCCACACUGGAACUGAGACACGGUCCAGACUCCUACGGGAGGCAGCAGUGGGGAAUAUUCCGCAAUGGGCGCAAGCCUGAUGGAGCAACGCCGCGUGAGUGAAGAAGGCCUUCGGAUCGUAAAGCUCUGUUAUCAGGGAAGAACAAAUGUGUAAGUAACUGUGCCCAUCUUGACGGUACCUGAUCAGAAAGCAACGGCUAACUACGUG